Molecule: long non-coding RNA, 5101 nt
Filed under: Sus scrofa (pig)
Lineage: Eukaryota; Metazoa; Chordata; Mammalia; Artiodactyla; Suidae
Description: lncRNA (ENSSSCG00005014724.1)
Source: RNAcentral
AUUGGGAUGAAUAAGUUUGAAUGUUCUGGCUUUUUUCUUAAACGUUCGGGCAUGAGUUUAAAAUUGUUAUUGUUAUUAUUAACAGAACUUAUUUACACAGUAGCCUCCUUUAAAAAAGAUACAGAGAAUGUCUCAUAACUCCCCUUUCCAAAUAAAAUUGAUUUGUUUCAUAAAGCAAUAGCUGCCAGAAACUCCAAUUUUGCUCUGCUUUGAUGUAAUCCAUUUGCAAACUGGAAGUUGGAAAAAUGAAGGCCCACAGAUAUCUAAAUUAGCCCUGAAUAUCAACCACAUCUCUUUUUGAGAAUAAUCAGGUACUCUGACUCUGGUCUCCUCAUUAUUUCACCAGGCCAGGAAAGGCGAGCUGACAAAUAAGCCCGAUUCUUCCUUGGCACCACAAAAUUCAAAGAAGAACGGAAAGUCCAUUGAAGUCCGCCUCUGUUCUUUUGCAGUUGAGCCGCAAGGUGCAAACAGGACCUGCCACUUGCUGCUUCGCAUGUGUCCAAACUCCUUAGGCUCCUGGGUAGCUUUGCUGAUGCCUGCUUUCCUCCCUGUGCCUCCCAGUGUCUAAGCCAAGUCCUCCUUUGCUGGUGGCUCUGCGUUCUGUUUCUUUUUUGGUUGCUCGCUCUUGGUUGCUAACAACGUCUUAUGGAACGUAGCUCAUCUGGCUCUUAGGUACCGCACGGAGACCUAGGGCGAGUCAGCGGGCUCUCAGAGACCAUCCUCAGAGCUAGACUUGCUUUCCAAACUCUGCUUCAGAGACCCUAUAGAUACCCUCUGGAGGGGUGUCAAGGGCUUCCUAGGGAGGAAGCUGGUGCGAGAUGGAUCCCAAAGAAAGACAAUGAAUGGACUAGGCUGGGAGUAACCUGUCAUUGCUUUGACCAGAGAAGUUCUGUUUCUGUCAGCAUCCCGUAUUAGACAUCAGCAUGAGAUUUCAUUUAAAGACAUGAUCGCAUGGCCAAAAGCAUUUGCAGGGCAAGCCUUUGCUAAACCCUGUUCCAUAUCCAUACAAGGGUAGGGAUAUAGUUGUAAAGUGUGUCAUUUUGUGACUUAUGUUAUUUUUCACCUGCUCUGGGUGCACAGCUGCACUCUCUAUCUCUGCAAGUGGAACAUGAACUUGUAAGGACACCAGGGUCUGUAAUUUGCUGUCUUUAUGAUGAGACAACCCUUCAGUUCCCAGGGGACACAGCUUUGCCUAUUUUUUUUUUUCCUUUUUAGGGCUGCAUUGGCAACAUAUGGAAGUUCCCAGGCCAGGGGUCCAAUCGGAGCUGCAGCUUAGACCUAUGCCACAGCCAUGGCGACACUGGAUUCGAGCUGCAUCUGCGACCUACACCGCAUCUUGUGGCAACGCCAGAUCCUUAAUCCACUGAGCGAGGCCAGGGGCUGAACCCACAUCUUCACAGAAAAAUGCUCUGGGUCCUUAACCUGCUUAGCUGCAAUGAGAACUCCCAGCUUUGCUUUCUUCGUAGGUUGGUUUCUCCUAAGCUCUUUUGAGUCAUCGUUUUCGGAGAGUCUAAUCAACAUUGUAGACCCACCGCCUUGAAAAACGCUUGGAAAUAGCACAAUUUGCACUCUCUUUCAAGGGACUAUGGUGCCACUGAAACCCAGCCAUGUGCUCUGAGACCAAGAAUCCCUGCAGGAAAGCCUUCUCUGGAUGGACCACACAAACGGUUGGGGUCAGUGUCCACUUUGAAAGCCUAUGUUUUUCCCCACCUGAUCAUUACAACUGCCCAGUAUUGGAACCGGCCAUGUCAUGAGAAUGGCUGCUUGAUUAUUUCAGGUGCAGAGAUGCUGGCCCACCAGAGGGGCGGGUGGCAUAGCAGAAGAAAGCACCGGGCCUGGCAUCAGAGAGAAUGGGCUUGAGACCAUAUUGCUGCCAAUUCCUACCUGUUUCCUUGGGCAAAUCACUUAACGUAUAUGAGUUUCAAUUUCCUUACCUAUAAAAUGGGUGGGACAGUUCUCCUGUCUGUUUUAAAAAUGACCUCGUAGCGUUGUCGAGGAGUUAAUGAGAAAACGCAUGCCAGUCAUUUUUCAUGGUAUAGAGCAGUUGGUCAGAAGGUCAGUUCCCUAAAAGCUUAUUGUGCAGAGGGCACCUGCCUUAUGUGGGAAAAUGGAUUCGGUGUUCUGUCAGGUCCCUUGUGACUCUGGUGUAGCCUUUUCUGCUCUGUUUCGUUGAAUAAUCUGGCAACUGUUACCUUCUUGCUUUGGAUUUGCCCUCAGACAGGUUUCAUGACUAGAAUCUUGAGCAAUGAUUGCUUUUCCCCUCAAGGCUCAGCUUUCAAAAAUGUCUUUCAACUAUCUCCAGCUCCGCUGAGGAGAUUUUUACAUCUUUAUUGCAAAGUGGCUCUUCGUGUCCCUUAGGGAGAUGAAGAGACGCUGACCAAAACUUGUGACAUGUUGUCCUCUGUUGCCAAAUAGUCAAGGGAAACACACAUUUAUGAGUAGACAGUGUAAGCUUAAGAGUUUGCCAUCUGAUUUGGCUUUAGACUUUUAAAUAAAUCAGCCAAGAACAGUUCCAGAAACUUGAUUUUCAAAAUAGAUACUUUUUGACAAGCCCGGUCCAGCUCGUUUCCAAAGAUAGCCUCGGAAUGAACAAUGCUUCUUUAUAUGGAAGCCCUCCCUUUGAACCUGGGCUGGCCUUUGACCAUUAGAAUGUGGCAGAAGUGACACUGCAUGACUCUUUAGAGUACAGCCUUGGAGAAGUUCCCGUGGUGGCUCAGCGGGUUAAGAACCCGAUAGUGUCUGCAGAUGUGGGGUUGAUCCCUGGCCUCGCUCAGUGGGUUAAGGAUGCAGCGUUGCCGUGAGCUGUGGUGUAGGUCACAGAGUCGGCUCAGAUCCGGCGUCGCUGUGGCUGUGGCUGUGGUUGUGGCCGGCAGCUGCAGGUCCGAUUGGACCCCUAGCCUGGGAACCUCCAUGUCGACCUGAGUCUCUUGGAAAGGCUCAUUCUGGGAGAAGUAAGGUACCAGGUAAGAAAGUCAGCAUCUGUAGUUCCUCGCGCUGAAGGAAGCGCAAAUAUUCGGAAUUCACAUGGGAGAGAGAGAAAGGGAGAGAGUGAGCUGCCCCCAGCUGUUCCAGCCAUCCCACCUGAGGUGCCAGGCUUGUGAGGGAAGAAGGCGUCUCGGAUGCCCCGUCCAGGUGAAACUUUCUGGAGGCUGUCAGCCUCCAUCUGACUGUAGCUGCAGGAGACACCCCCAAGUACAAUCUUGUAGCUUAGCCCAGUUAACCCACAGAGCUGUGAGAUAAUAAAUUAUUUGGAGCCUCUAGUUUUUUUUUUUUUUUAAUAGCAGUAGAUAAUUGAAAAGGAUGCCUCCGUCACAUGUGGGGGUAGGCAGGAUUGCACAGAUCCAAACACUGGUGAAUUGCCUGCAGCUGCUGGUAUCUGGAAGGAUUGUUUUCGGACCUGUGGCCUCCUAGUGACAGGGUCCAUGUUGGUUGCCACUGACUCAGGUUGAUGAGCUUUAACCCUCUUCUAGAAAAUCUCUUGAUACUGGCUUAAGACCACCGAGGAAAGAAUACACUUCGUGUCUCUCCCACUGGACUUCUUGGUAUCCACGUUCCUACCUUCUUUCUUAUUCUUAAGAUAUGUUCUAUAGAGGAUUUCGUGCUGUUUGCUGGGCUGACCUCAUGCACCUGUCCAAACCAUGGUUGGCAAACUAGGGGCUGCAGGCAGGCCGUUACCUCUCUCUUUUUUGUAAGUAAAAUUUGAUUGGAACUUGCCCAUUUGUUUCCAUAUAUUCUAUCACUGUUUUUUCUCCGUGAUGGCAGAGUUGUGUAGUUGUGACAGAUGGUAUGGUGUGCAUAGCCAAAAAUAUUUACUGUCUGACCUUUCCGGAGAAAGUUUGCCAAACCCUCGUCUAAACCAUCGAGCUAAGUGGUUGAUAGUAUUUUAGAUUGUGUGCAGUGUUGUAUGUAAACUGUUUGAGAGCUUGACUUUAUGGUGAUGGUCCUCUAGUUUCAUCUUCGUUGAGGACAAUUAAGCAGGUGAAUUCAGCAUCAGCUAAUGCAUAUUAAGUCCCUUACUAUGCACUGGGUACCUGGUGCUUUGGUAUGUGUUUUCGUGUAUAUGGUUCAUUCCUGCGUGGAAUAAUCUUGUGAGCUGAAUAGUUUAUCUUCGCUUUACAGAUGAAGGAAUUUAAGACUUGGAAAGAAAAAAAAUGAUUCGAUUCAGGCUACCAUUACUGAGCUAGGAUGUGAACCCAGUGCAAAGGUGCCAAUACUGGAUUCUUUGUCCUACACUAGUGCUUUUCAGACUUUUAUGUUAUGCGUGUAUGCAUGUAGGUGUGUAGGAAUGCAUGCAUUUCUGUGUUUGGCAGCACGACCUUCUUUUACUCAAAGAAUGCCAUUCGUUGGCCCAGUGGGUAUAAAGCAGAUGAAAGCAGAUCAAACGUCUCCAUGAUCACACCCCUCCUCCUUGCAGAACACACACAUACACACACACACACACACACACACACACACAAUUCAGCCUUAACCUCAACAUUGCAACAUUGCAUGGAUUUUGUCAGGACCUGUAACACGAGAUGGAAGGACAUGAGAUUUGGGCUGUCAUCAUUUGGUCUUUGUCUUUCUCGUAGCACAGAUGUCUGAUUGCUCUUUUGCCUCAAUGCCAGUGAUUCCCAAGGCACUCUGUACAAUUGCAAAAAAAAAAAAAAAAAAAAAAAAGAGAGAGAGAGAGAGAGAGAGGAAAAGUCAAGGAUUACUGUAUUUUUGGUGUGACUGUUUUAACCACUUCCAAGCUUCAAAUCUCCCUAUCCAAGUCAAAAGUAAGUUGAAUAUGAUUGGUUUUUUUAAAUCCUAUUUUAACGUGGUACAUCUAAGUGCUGGAGCUUUAUAUAUACAUAUUAAAAUUAUGUUUAUAAAGAUCCAUAGUGGUAUGGAAAUAAGAGUAUAAUGCAGAUAAAAAUAGCUGUGUAUACAUUAUGAUCUCAGCUUUGCACAAUGUAGUUUAGGGGGCGAUAUGCAUAUUAACUCACCUCUAGUCAAAUAAAAGUGGAGGGAACCAUGAUCCCUGGGUGCAGGGGUUCUUUGUAAUGGUUAGUGUCUGCCUUUUGUCCGUUCUUUUGAAAGCCUAUAGAAACAAGCCAAUUUGAAAAAAAAAAAAAAA